UCCGGUUUGGCACCGGCAGUCUUCCUAGAGUCCCCGCCAUUACGCGCUGGCAACUAAGGACAAGGGUUUCGCUCGUUAAGCGACUUAACGCGACAUCUCACGGCACGAGCUGACGACAGCCACGCACCACCUGUGCAGGCUCCGAAGAGCACCCGCUUUCACGGGUUUCACCCUGCAUGUCAAGCCCAGGUAAGGUUCUUCGCGUUGCAUCGAAUUAAGCCGCAUGCUCCGCCGCUUGUGCGGGUCCCCGUCAAUUCCUUUGAGUUUUAGCCUUGCGGCCGUACUCCCCAGGCGGGGCACUUAAUGCGUUAGCGGCGGCACGGGAGGAGUCGACACCUCCCACACCUAGUGCCCAUCGUUUACGGCGUGGACUAC
Molecule: unclassified non-coding RNA, 375 nt
Filed under: uncultured Actinomycetes bacterium
Lineage: Bacteria; Bacillati; Actinomycetota; Actinomycetes
Description: uncultured actinobacterium contains 16S-23S intergenic spacer region
Source: RNAcentral